CGGGGGAGGCGGGAUCCUGGGCUGUGUCCCGGCGCCCUGUGCUCCGGUCCUGCGCUGGUGGAUUCGCGCUCCCGGGCCGCCCAACCCCCU
Non-coding RNA from Canis lupus familiaris (dog), 90 nucleotides. The record is from Rfam. Lineage: Eukaryota; Metazoa; Chordata; Mammalia; Carnivora; Canidae.